AACUUUUGGCAACGGAUCACUUGGCUCUCGCAUCGAUGAAGAACGCAGCGAAUUGCGAUAUGUAAUGUGAAUUGCAGAAUUCAGUGAAUCAUCGAAUCUUUGAACGCACAUUGCACCUUCUGGAAAUUCCAGAAGGUAUGCCUGUUUGAGUGUCAUUAAUAUCUCACUAUAAGCAAUUAGUUUGUUUAUGAGUGGAUGAUGAAGGUUGCUGGCUCUCAUUGUCAGCUCCUUUUAAAUGCAUGAGCAGAUCUGUGUAGACUCAGCUUUAGUUUGAUAAUUUUGUUUAUCUGAGCUGUUGCUGAGGAACUUGAAGAUCAGCUUUCAAACUGUCCUUUUGAAGGACUGUCUUUUAUAGACAAUCAAAUAUGACUUUUGACCUCAAAUCAGGUAGGACUACCCGCUGAACUUAAGCAUAUCAAUAAGCGGAGGCU
RNAcentral lists this unclassified non-coding RNA (431 nucleotides) under uncultured Agaricales. RNAcentral describes it as "sequence contains ITS2". The stretch from base 1 to 155 matches the Rfam family "5.8S ribosomal RNA". Lineage: Eukaryota; Fungi; Basidiomycota; Agaricomycetes; Agaricales. The record is from RNAcentral.